GAUGAAGAACGUAGCGAAAUGCGAUAAGUAGUGUGAAUUGCAGAAUUCAGUGAAUCAUCGAAUCUUUGAACCCACAUUGCGCCCCAUGGUAUUCCGUGGGGCAUGCCUGUUCGAGCGUCAUUUACCCCCUCAAGCUCCGCUUGGUGUUGGGCGUCUGUCCCGCUUCGCGCGCGGACUCGCCCCAAAGGUAUUGGCAGCGGUCGUGCCAGCUUCUCGCGCAGCACAUUGCGCUUCUCGAGGCACCGGUGGGCCCGCGUCCAUCAAGCUCACCCCCCCAGUUUGACCUCGGAUCAGGUAGGGAUACCCGCUGAACUUAAGCAUAUCAAUAAGCGGAGGA
Molecule: unclassified non-coding RNA, 337 nt
Filed under: soil metagenome
Description: partial contains 5.8S ribosomal RNA, internal transcribed spacer 2, and large subunit ribosomal RNA
Rfam family: 5.8S ribosomal RNA (bases 1-120)
Source: RNAcentral